Molecule: ribosomal RNA, 497 nt
Filed under: uncultured bacterium
Lineage: Bacteria
Description: partial 16S ribosomal RNA
Rfam family: Bacterial small subunit ribosomal RNA
Source: RNAcentral
AUUGAACGCUGGCGGCAUGCUUUACACAUGCAAGUCGAACGGUAACAGGCCGCAAGGUGCUGACGAGUGGAGAACGGGUGAGUAAUGCAUCGGAACGUGCCCAGUCGUGGGGGAUAACGCAGCGAAAGCUGCGCUAAUACCGCAUACGAUCUCUGGAUGAAAGCGGGGGACCGAAAGGCCUCGCGCGACUGGAGCGGCCGAUGUCAGAUUAGGUAGUUGGUGGGGUAAAGGCCCACCAAGCCAACGAUCUGUAGCUGGUCUGAGAGGACGACCAGCCACACUGGGACUGAGACACGGCCCAGACUCCUACGGGAGGCAGCAGUGGGGAAUUUUGGACAAUGGGCGCAAGCCUGAUCCAGCAAUGCCGCGUGCAGGAAGAAGGCCUUCGGGUUGUAAACUGCUUUUGUACGGAACGAAACGGUCUGGGUUAAUACCCUGGGCUAAUGACGGUACCGUAAGAAUAAGCACCGGCUAACUACGUGCCAGCAGCCCGGUAA